Molecule: ribosomal RNA, 253 nt
Filed under: uncultured bacterium
Lineage: Bacteria
Description: partial 16S ribosomal RNA
Rfam family: Bacterial small subunit ribosomal RNA
Source: RNAcentral
UACGUAGGGUGCAAGCGUUGUCCGGAAUUAUUGGGCGUAAAGAGCUCGUAGGCGGUUCGUCGCGUCGGCUGUGAAAACCCGAGGCUCAACCUCGGGCCUGCAGUCGAUACGGGCAAACUAGAGUACUGCAGGGGAGACUGGAAUUCCUGGUGUAGCGGUGAAAUGCGCAGAUAUCAGGAGGAACACCGGUGGCGAAGGCGGGUCUCUGGGCAGUAACUGACGCUGAGGAGCGAAAGCGUGGGGAGCGAACAGG